Molecule: ribosomal RNA, 459 nt
Filed under: uncultured bacterium
Lineage: Bacteria
Description: partial 16S ribosomal RNA
Rfam family: Bacterial small subunit ribosomal RNA
Source: RNAcentral
ACUACGGGUGGCAGCAGUGAGGAAUAUUGGUCAAUGGGCGCGAGCCUGAACCAACCAAGUCGCGUGAGGGAAGACGGUCCUAUGGAUUGUAAACCUCUUUUGUCGGGGAGCACAAGACGCCACGCGUGGCGUUCCGAGAGUACCCGAAGAAAAAGCAUCGGCUAACUCCGUGCAAGCAGCCGCGGUAAUACGGAGGAUGCGAGGGUUAUCCGGAUUUAUUGGGUUUAAAGGGUGCGCAGGCGGAAGAUCAAGUCAGCGGUAAAAUUGAGGGGCUCAACCUCUUCGAGCCGUUGAAACUGGUUUUCUUGAGUGAGUGAGAGGUAUGCGGAAUGCGAGGUGUAGCGGUGAAAUGCAUAGAUAUCACGCAGAACACCGAUUGCGAAGGCAGCAUACCGGCGCUAAACUGACGCUCAUGCACGAAAGUGUGGGUAUCGAACAGGAUUAGAUACCCGGGUAGUC